Molecule: long non-coding RNA, 800 nt
Filed under: Apteryx owenii (little spotted kiwi)
Lineage: Eukaryota; Metazoa; Chordata; Aves; Apterygiformes; Apterygidae
Description: lncRNA (ENSAOWG00000006853.1)
Source: RNAcentral
CACAUAUAUAGUGAAUAAUACAACAGUUACCAAUGUGAUAUUUAUUUCUGGAUGCUGAAAGUUUGUUUUGCUUCAGUAAUUUAUGAAAAUGAAUCACGCUUUCUCCGUCAGCUUUGGGAAUAUCUACAGCAUACAUCAGCCCAGAAAGGUCACACUGAGAAUCUUUGAUUGCUUUAUAGCAACUUCCUCCCACAGUAUUAAAAGAAAAAGCUUCUGCUCAGUAUAUUCUGCCCAAUUAUAUAGAUGAACAUAAAAAGAUGGAUAUAAGAAUGCCUCUCGUGUAUGUGUGUGAGUGAGUAUGUUUUUGUUUUCACUGUGAUCUCCUAGAUCCUGCUUAGGGACUUUCUGUUCUUAUUUGACCAGUUUAUUGUUUAUUUUAUACUUCUUUCCUUUCUAGCCUACAUAAUUGUCUUGCAAAGACCAAGAAGCCCACAGAGUUGUUCUGGUGCUGCUUGUGAGGACAGAGCAGUUGAGCAGCAGACUUUAAUACGGCUGAACUUGGCUGGAAUGAACAUUAUUUUAUGCUUUAGAACCUGGGGCAACCAGAAGUCAAGAACACGAGCUCUGUCGUGGAAUGCAACUGCCUGCAUGUGCCCUGGGGAUCCCACCCCCAGCAAACCAACAGGUCCUUUUAAUGCUUCGAGACCUUCUCACCUGCCUCAGCACCUCCAAUGUCUCAGAUGCGGCAACUAUGUGAAAAGUGAAAAUUUUUAAAGUGAAGCUAUAUACAGUCCAUCCUUCAGAGACAGAGAACUGCUGGCAGAAGAAAGCUUUGGUGCUCUGUUCCCCACCAAAUCCAG